GGACUACAAGGGUAUCUAAUCCUGUUUGCUCCCCUUGCUUUCGCGCCUCAGCGUCAGUUUCAGCCCAGAAAACCGUCUUCACCACCGGUGUUCUUCCACAUAUCUACGCAUUUCACCGCUACACGUGGAAUUCCGUUUUCCCUAACUGUACUCUAGUUCGGAAGUUUCAAAUGCAGCUUCGGAGUUGAGCCCCGAAAUUUCACAUCUGACUUUCCGAACCGCCUACGCGCCCUUUACGCCCAGUAAUUCCGAUCAAUGCUUGCACCCUCCGUAUUACCGCGGCGGCUGGCAC
This 292-nucleotide ribosomal RNA is filed under the name uncultured bacterium. RNAcentral describes it as "partial 16S ribosomal RNA". The record is from RNAcentral.